AUACUAUAAAAUCUUAUAAACUUAUUUUAAUAAAAGCAAAAUAACAUCAACUUCUUCUACCCACACAAAAUAAAAGUACUAAAAAGGAACAUAAAAUACAUUUAAGUAGUGAAGACUCACGUACCUUGUGCAUUAUGGUUUUACAAGCUCUUCAAUUAAAAAUACAUUCCCGAAUCCUACGCGAGCUGUCUUCGUAUAGUUUAGAACCCACCACUAGUUGUGACAUCAACUUUGGAAAAUACCUUGACAGAGGCUACAUACCAACCGCGCUAGAAAAUUGCUGGUUUUCAGUAAAACUUAUAAAUUAAAGCAUGUAGAACUCUACAAUGUAAAAUCACAGAGGAUAAGCCCUGUAAUUUCAAGCAAAACAUAUCAACUCAGUAAAAUAGGCCUAAAAACAGCCAUUCCUAAUACGUUACUGUAAAUAAUUCACAAUCCUCAUAUCUAAAUGCCACAACAAUCUGAAAUUUAAGAGCAAUCUAAAUCUUUUUAUAUUCUGUAAAAAUAAGUAUUCUGUAUUAUAAAUUUAUUUAACUAUAUUAAAUUAAAAUAAUGUCAAUUCUUAUAAAGGAACUCGGCAAAUCUUCUUUCGACUGUUUAACAAAAACAUUGCUUUCUGAACUCUAAUAGAAAGUAAUUCCUGCCCGGUGAAUACAAUUUUAACGGCCGCGGUAUCCUAACCGUGCAAAGGUAGCAUAAUCACUUGCCCAUUAAUUGUGGGCUAGAAUGAAAGGACUAACGAAAUAAAGACUGUCUCUAUAAGACACCUAAAAAUUAACCUCUAACUGAAGACUGUUAGAUUCCUUCGAAGGACAAGAAGACCCUAUAGAGCUUUAUUUUAAUAAAAAAUUAUCUUUUCCUAAAAUUCGGUUGGGGCGACCCGGGAAGUAUUAAUCAUCCCUUAUUUAUAGAUAAAUAAAUCAAACACUUGACCCUUUCUAAGAUCAUAAAACCAAGCUACCUUAGGGAUAACAGGCUAAUCCCACUAAAGAGUCCUUAUCAAUAGUGGGGAUUGGCACCUCGAUGUUGGCUUAGGGAACCCUUGCGGCGCAAAAGUCGUAAAUAGAUGGUUUGUUCAACCAAUAAUACCCUACAUGAGCUGAGUUCAGACCGGCGUAAGCCAGGUUAGUUUCUAUCCUCGAUUACAAAUCUAUUUAUAGUACGAAAGGACCUAAAUAAGAGUAACAUUUACAUUAAAAGAAUUCAUAUAACUUAAAUUAAAUUCUUAUAAAUAUAUACUAUG
This 1243-nucleotide ribosomal RNA is filed under the name Eisenia nordenskioldi pallida. RNAcentral's name for it is "16S ribosomal RNA". It matches the Rfam family "Bacterial large subunit ribosomal RNA", at positions 576 to 2796 of the family's 2925-position model. The record is from RNAcentral. Lineage: Eukaryota; Metazoa; Annelida; Clitellata; Crassiclitellata; Lumbricidae.